RNAcentral lists this ribosomal RNA (1524 nucleotides) under Salmonella enterica subsp. enterica serovar Kentucky. RNAcentral describes it as "bacterial SSU rRNA". It matches the Rfam family "Bacterial small subunit ribosomal RNA". Lineage: Bacteria; Pseudomonadati; Pseudomonadota; Gammaproteobacteria; Enterobacterales; Enterobacteriaceae. The record is from RNAcentral.
AAAUUGAAGAGUUUGAUCAUGGCUCAGAUUGAACGCUGGCGGCAGGCCUAACACAUGCAAGUCGAACGGUAACAGGAAGCAGCUUGCUGCUUUGCUGACGAGUGGCGGACGGGUGAGUAAUGUCUGGGAAACUGCCUGAUGGAGGGGGAUAACUACUGGAAACGGUGGCUAAUACCGCAUAACGUCGCAAGACCAAAGAGGGGGACCUUCGGGCCUCUUGCCAUCAGAUGUGCCCAGAUGGGAUUAGCUUGUUGGUGAGGUAACGGCUCACCAAGGCGACGAUCCCUAGCUGGUCUGAGAGGAUGACCAGCCACACUGGAACUGAGACACGGUCCAGACUCCUACGGGAGGCAGCAGUGGGGAAUAUUGCACAAUGGGCGCAAGCCUGAUGCAGCCAUGCCGCGUGUAUGAAGAAGGCCUUCGGGUUGUAAAGUACUUUCAGCGGGGAGGAAGGUGUUGUGGUUAAUAACCGCAGCAAUUGACGUUACCCGCAGAAGAAGCACCGGCUAACUCCGUGCCAGCAGCCGCGGUAAUACGGAGGGUGCAAGCGUUAAUCGGAAUUACUGGGCGUAAAGCGCACGCAGGCGGUCUGUCAAGUCGGAUGUGAAAUCCCCGGGCUCAACCUGGGAACUGCAUUCGAAACUGGCAGGCUUGAGUCUUGUAGAGGGGGGUAGAAUUCCAGGUGUAGCGGUGAAAUGCGUAGAGAUCUGGAGGAAUACCGGUGGCGAAGGCGGCCCCCUGGACAAAGACUGACGCUCAGGUGCGAAAGCGUGGGGAGCAAACAGGAUUAGAUACCCUGGUAGUCCACGCCGUAAACGAUGUCUACUUGGAGGUUGUGCCCUUGAGGCGUGGCUUCCGGAGCUAACGCGUUAAGUAGACCGCCUGGGGAGUACGGCCGCAAGGUUAAAACUCAAAUGAAUUGACGGGGGCCCGCACAAGCGGUGGAGCAUGUGGUUUAAUUCGAUGCAACGCGAAGAACCUUACCUGGUCUUGACAUCCACAGAACUUUCCAGAGAUGGACUGGUGCCUUCGGGAACUGUGAGACAGGUGCUGCAUGGCUGUCGUCAGCUCGUGUUGUGAAAUGUUGGGUUAAGUCCCGCAACGAGCGCAACCCUUAUCCUUUGUUGCCAGCGGUCCGGCCGGGAACUCAAAGGAGACUGCCAGUGAUAAACUGGAGGAAGGUGGGGAUGACGUCAAGUCAUCAUGGCCCUUACGACCAGGGCUACACACGUGCUACAAUGGCGCAUACAAAGAGAAGCGACCUCGCGAGAGCAAGCGGACCUCAUAAAGUGCGUCGUAGUCCGGAUUGGAGUCUGCAACUCGACUCCAUGAAGUCGGAAUCGCUAGUAAUCGUGGAUCAGAAUGCCACGGUGAAUACGUUCCCGGGCCUUGUACACACCGCCCGUCACACCAUGGGAGUGGGUUGCAAAAGAAGUAGGUAGCUUAACCUUCGGGAGGGCGCUUACCACUUUGUGAUUCAUGACUGGGGUGAAGUCGUAACAAGGUAACCGUAGGGGAACCUGC